GUCUCCAUGGUCUAGUUGGUUUUAUGACGGCGGUCUCAUAGUAAUGCACAAAUGCACAUGACAGCUCAUCCAAGAGUUGGAUAUCCGCAGGUCACGAGUUCGAUUCUCGUUGGAGGCA
Molecule: non-coding RNA, 118 nt
Organism: Aspergillus tanneri
Lineage: Eukaryota; Fungi; Ascomycota; Eurotiomycetes; Eurotiales; Aspergillaceae
Source: the annotation of a RefSeq genome assembly